Molecule: long non-coding RNA, 926 nt
Filed under: Heterocephalus glaber (naked mole-rat)
Lineage: Eukaryota; Metazoa; Chordata; Mammalia; Rodentia; Bathyergidae
Description: lncRNA (ENSHGLG00000034779.1)
Source: RNAcentral
GCCUGCUCCGCCGCCGCCUCUCCGCCCCGCCGCCGCCUCUCGGCCGCCGCCGCCGCCGGGCAGGAGUGAGCAGCUACACACUUAAGAGCCCAGGACCCGGGAAAGGAUCCAGGAAGUUCAUAAUUUCCACGUGUUUCUGGCCUCAAGGAAGACAGAAAACAUUGUGUCAUUCCACGCUCCCUUCCAAGACUUGAUAUGGGAAUUGUCUCAUAUGACUAUGAAGGCCAAGAAUCCCACUACCUGCCUUUGCAAGCUAGAGAACCGGAGAAGUGCAACAUGUAAUUCAGGGACUAUUUCUCCUCUGUGAUGACUGUCUACAAUGAGACCCCUCCUUGGAGCCAGCUGACUAUGGCCUAAAACUUCUACAAACUACAGCCAUAAUGACAGAAGAGGAGCGACAGCAUGAAUAUACAACUUCAUGAAUCAGAAUCAACAGUGGCUUGCAUCAAUAUCAGUGAAAGUUAUUAUCCCUUGUAGCCCAUGGCCAUGACAUACACAAGAAGAGGAGGCGCUGGGGUCCCACAUCCUUUCUAGAGCACGCCAUCAAUGUGCAGAAGACCCCCCUACACCGACCUGGUCUCAUCACUGUAGGGUUCCAGCUCUUCCCAAUAGUGCCAAGCUAGAGAUCAACCCUGAUAUGUAUGCCUUUGAGGGACAUUUAUUACUCCUGCUUUUUUUUCUAGUUAAUUCUUUUAUAAAACACAGAUUUGUAAAGGGUGGCAAGAACAAAGGGAAAGAGACUUCUCUCUAUGGUCAGCAAAAUUGGUGAUGUAGGAUUCGAUCAUUCAGAAGUCUUUAACUCUACCGUGGUCAUUACAACUACUGUGGUCUCAAUUCUUCUCUAUCUUGCAUUACAAAUAAAAUAAACAUCUCUAAGUUCUUCUAUGUCAUUCCUUGAUAAGGUUUUAUUGAUUACUACUUUUCCC